This is a long non-coding RNA of Clarias gariepinus (North African catfish), 315 nucleotides long. RefSeq lists it as uncharacterized. The record is from RefSeq and is a predicted model, not a curated record. Lineage: Eukaryota; Metazoa; Chordata; Actinopteri; Siluriformes; Clariidae. The transcript has 4 exons.
UACGUGCCCAGCAAGACCAGGAGUAUAAAGAAAGUUUGUUAGUGGAUGAGGAAAAGGAGCUGAAGAAACUGGCUUAUCAGGCCUCUGAGGAAAAGCGUCAAAAGGCUAUUGAGACAAGACGUCAGCGAAUGGCUAUGUGUGAUGAACCGUCAGAUGGGGCAUUGUUAAAAUUUAAAUAUCCAGAUGGACACAUCAGCAUGAGGAAAUUCAACUUGUCUGAGUCAAUUCAGGAUUUGUUUGACUUUGUUGGACAAGAAGACAUGGCGAGUGAAAUUUUUGAGGUCCAAGAAGCUACUUCAUCAAAAUCAAUUAAGA